UACAGAGGUCCCCCAAGCGUUGUUCGGAUUUACUGGGCGUAAAGGGUAGCGUAGGUGGUAGGGUAAGUUCAAGGUGAAAGCUUCGGGCUCAACCCGAAAAUUAGCCUCGAAUACUAUCCUGCUCGAGGGUCGGAAGGGAGACUGGAAUUCUCGGUGUAGCAGUGAAAAUGCGUAGAUAUCGAGAGGAACACCUGUGGCGAAGGCGAGUCUCUGGACGAUUCCUGACACUGAGGCACG
RNAcentral lists this ribosomal RNA (237 nucleotides) under uncultured bacterium. Its description in RNAcentral is "partial 16S ribosomal RNA". It matches the Rfam family "Bacterial small subunit ribosomal RNA", at positions 524 to 755 of the family's 1533-position model. The record is from RNAcentral.